GAGCUAACGCAGUUAAGUCGACCGCCUGGGGAGUACGGCCGCAAGGUUAAAACUCAAAUGAAUUGACGGGGGCCCGCACAAGCGGUGGAGCAUGUGGUUUAAUUCGAUGCAACGCGAAGAACCUUACCUACUCUUGACAUCCAGAGAACUUAGCAGAGAUGCUUUGGUGCCUUCGGGAACUCUGAGACAGGUGCUGCAUGGCUGUCGUCAGCUCGUGUUGUGAAAUGUUGGGUUAAGUCCCGCAACGAGCGCAACCCUUAUCCUUUGUUGCCAGCGGUUCGGCCGGGAACUCAAAGGAGACUGCCAGUGAUAAACUGGAGGAAGGUGGGGAUGACGUCAAGUCAUCAUGGCCCUUACGAGUAGGGCUACACACGUGCUACAAUGGCGCAUACAAAGAGAAGCGACCUCGCGAGAGCAAGCGGACCUCAUAAAGUGCGUCGUAGUCCGGAUUGGAGUCUGCAACUCGACUCCAUGAAGUCGGAAUCGCUAGUAAUCGUAGAUCAGAAUGCUACGGUGAAUACGUUCCCGGGCCUUGUACUCACCGCCCGUCAA
RNAcentral lists this ribosomal RNA (552 nucleotides) under Enterobacterales bacterium. Its description in RNAcentral is "bacterial SSU rRNA". It matches the Rfam family "Bacterial small subunit ribosomal RNA", at positions 848 to 1400 of the family's 1533-position model. The record is from RNAcentral. Lineage: Bacteria; Pseudomonadati; Pseudomonadota; Gammaproteobacteria; Enterobacterales.